RNAcentral lists this unclassified non-coding RNA (660 nucleotides) under Hevea brasiliensis (rubber tree). The record is from RNAcentral. Lineage: Eukaryota; Viridiplantae; Streptophyta; Magnoliopsida; Malpighiales; Euphorbiaceae.
UUGGCAUCUUCCUCCAGUGCUGGCAUAUCUGCAUCAUCCUCAGCGGAUUCCUCCUCAUCAAUGUUCAGGCCCAGCUUCAGCAUCCUGUGAAUCCUUCCUGCAAAGGUAUUUGGCUCGUCCAAGCUGAACCCAGAGGUCAGCAGAGCAGUCUCAUACAGCAGCAUCACAAGGUCCCUCACAGACUUGUCAUUCUUAUCCGCCUCAGCCCUCUUCCUCAGCUCCUCCAUUAUACCAUUCUCAGGAUUUAUCUCCAUAGUUUUCUUGCUUGACAUGUAAGAGCUCAUGCUGCUGUCCCUCAGAGCCUGAGCCUUCAUAAUCCUCUCCAUAUUAGCAGUCCAUCCAUACUCACCGGUCACCAGCACACAGGGGGAAUCCACAAUCCUGUCAGAUACCACAACCUUCUCAACGCGAUCACCAAGUAUCUCCUUAAUGGUCUUGCACAGGCCCUCAAAUGCAGCCUUCUUCUCCUCUCUUUUCUUCUUCUCCUCCUCAGUCUCCUCAAUCUUAAGGCCUUCCUUGGUUGCAGAGACAAGCUUCUUACCAUCAUACUCCUUGAGCUGCCCAACAGCAUACUCAUCAAUUGCAUCAACCAUGAAGAGCACCUCAUAACCCUUCCUCUUUAGCUUCUCUAAGAAGGGAGAGUUCUCAACUGCCUUCUUG